CGGGAUUCCCUGAGUAAGGGCGACUGAAAGGGGAUUAGCCCAGCGCAUAACCUCGCGGCCCUGUUGCGGCCGUUGAGGGGUGUUGCGUUUCGGUGGAUCCGUACCGCUCGAGCUGCUGACCGCCUAAGUCAUUGCUUGAAUGCAGCCCCGAGGAGGGUGGUAGGCCCGUGUGGCGGCGCCUGUAAAAAGGUUUGGAGGCAGCUUGAGCGGAGGGGUCUUUACCGUAGAGUCGGGUUGCUUAGUACUGCAGCCCUAAGUAGGUGGUAAACUCCAUCUAAGGCUAAAUACUACCACGAGUCCGAUAUUUGACAAGUACCGUGAGGGAAAGCUGAAAAGGACUCUGAAGAGAGAGUUCAAGAGGACGUGAAACCAUUAGAAGCUGAAACGGGUGGAACCGUGAAGGUGGAAAGAGGGGAUUCAGGCUGUGGGGGCGCGCGCUGGCCGCAGGUGGGCCUAAGAGAGAGGACCCGGCAUACCAGUGAGUUGCCCGGGCCCCUGCGUGCUGGGCGCGCGUGCCGGCGGCUUUACUUCUCCCUCGAGUACUGGUGGUGGCGACCCGCUGGCCGGACCCCGAGGGCUCCUGGGGACUGGUAGCCUGCACCCUGGGUGCAGGUGAGGACCCCGUGGAGUACUGACUGGGUUUGGCCGGCGGUCACUGCAAGGAGGCGGGCUGGCUCCUCUCGGGGGGCCGGGCCGCCUCUCGCCAUGUGAGAGGUAUCGGUAAUCCACCCGACCCGUCUUGAAACACGGACCAAGGAGUCCAACAUGUGCGCGAGUCUAAGGGUGGUCUAAACCCGGAGGCGAAAUGAAAGUGAGCCCUUGUGAGGGCAGGCCGAUCCCCUGUCGUUCGGGAGGCCGCGUUAGCGCCGCCGUGAGCUAGUUUCCGGCGUGUGGGUUACGCGGUCUGCUGGGCGGCGGCCCCGUGGCCUUCGGGCGGCGGGGAGAUGGGGCGCAGGCCGAGGACUUGCCGUUGUGCGGCGCGGGCAACGGGGGGCAUCCAAUGCCUCCUUAUCCCGACGUCCGCCGGCAAGUACCUGAGAGCGCAGCCGUUGGGACCCGAAAGAUGGUGAACUAUGCCUGGCGAGGACGAAGCCAGAGGAAACUCUGGUGGAGGUCCGAAGCAGUUCUGACGUGCAAAUCGAUUGUCAGAGCUGGGUAUAGGGGCGAAAGACUAAUCGAACCA
This 1183-nucleotide ribosomal RNA is filed under the name Macrobrachium australe. Its description in RNAcentral is "eukaryotic LSU rRNA". It matches the Rfam family "Eukaryotic large subunit ribosomal RNA", at positions 70 to 942 of the family's 3401-position model. The record is from RNAcentral. Lineage: Eukaryota; Metazoa; Arthropoda; Malacostraca; Decapoda; Palaemonidae.